AUACGUAGGGGGCGAGCGUUGUCCGGAAUGAUUGGGCGUAAAGGGCGCGUAGGCGGCCUGUUAAGUCUGGAGUGAAAGUCCUGUUUUCAAGAUGGGAAUUGCUUUGGAUACUGAUGGGCGUGAGUGCAGGAGAGGUUAUCGGAAUUCCUGGUGUAGCGGUGAAAUGCGUAGAGAUCGGGAGGAACACCAGUGGCGAAGGCGGGUAACUGGACUGCAACUGACGCUGAGGCGCGAAAGUGUGGGGAGCAAACAGGAUUAGAUACCCUGGUAGUCCACACUGUAAACGAUGAAUGCUAGGUGUAAGAGGUAUCGACCCCUUUUGUGCCGGAGUUAACACAAUAAGCAUUCCGCCUGGGGAGUACGGCCGCAAGGUUGAAACUCAAAUGAAUUGGCGGGG
This 397-nucleotide ribosomal RNA is filed under the name uncultured bacterium. RNAcentral's name for it is "partial 16S ribosomal RNA". It matches the Rfam family "Bacterial small subunit ribosomal RNA", at positions 523 to 918 of the family's 1533-position model. The record is from RNAcentral.